Molecule: non-coding RNA, 4807 nt
Organism: Callithrix jacchus (white-tufted-ear marmoset)
Lineage: Eukaryota; Metazoa; Chordata; Mammalia; Primates; Cebidae
Source: RefSeq, a predicted model, not a curated record
GGUGAACUAUGAGACAAAACAAAUUAUUUAGUUUUAGAACUUUCUGUUGUCUUGAACUCAAUGAAGACUACAUCUAUUUAUAUAAGCAUUUGAUAAAAUAUUAAUUUAGAACAACAAAAAAGUAUGAAAUUUACAUUUACCAGCUAAGAUAAAUAUCUGGGGAAAAUAAACCUUCAGGAAGCAAUAGCUAAACAGGUUACAUUUUUAUCAGUAAUUUGUCUAACAAUUUUUAGUAACAUACAAUAAUCAUACUUACAGUCCCAUAAGAAUCUUGAUAAACUAACUGGCUAAAGGUCUCUAAACCUGAGGAAAGUAAAAUUUAUUGCAUUAAUUUAUAAAUCAACAAAUUGAGAUGAUAAAAGUUAUAUUAUUCAAACAGACUCAAGUAAGGCAAAUAUAAUUAAAUAUAGUGUUAUACCUAUAUCCUCUAAAAUAGAUUGUUAUACCUAUACCCUCUACCAUCAUUUCUAAAUGAUGCCAAAUUAAAAAAAAUUUUUAAAGCCAAAACUCCAUUGCCCUUCUCUACUCAUCUAAUAAAAGUGCUUCACUUCAUUGUACUCAUACCCUGGGGUUCGUUUCAAUAAACACAAAAUAAUAGUAAUUUAAUAAAAUAUCAGUUUCUGAAUAAAUUUAUAGCAUUAUGAGAAAGAAUUUUUGUAAUCAAAUAUUACAGUCACUUUUAGAAGACACCUAAAUGUAACAGGGAAAAAUGGCUGGAAAAACCACCAUGAAACUAUAAAGGUCAAUUUACAAUAUACAGUUUUACUUAUAGCUGCAAAGACUACCUUCUGAACAUUUUUUACUCAAGUGGAUUCUUCCCUUAAUAUACUAGUUGACAGGCUCUAACUGGCCUUGACUUUAUUCAGAUUCCUCAUUCUAGCUGACAGUUAUAGAGCCAGAGAACUUUUAACCUAAGAAGAGUUCAGUCAUUUUUGCUGUGCCUUCCUCUCCCCAGCCACGUCAAGCUCAGGUUCAUGCUGGAAAGAAUAACUCUGAAAGUUUCUGUUAAGUGACUUUGCACUCAAUAAUGAUCAGUUUAGAGUACAAUACUCUGAAAGUCUGAGGGUAAACAGAAAAUAAGGACUUCUUGGAGUAGAAAUCUAGUCACUAUGUACUCACUAGAGUUUUGUUUUGCUUUUUGUUUUUUUUGAGACGAGUCUCACUUUAUCACCCAGGAUGGAGUACAGUGGUGUGAUCUCAGCUCACUGCAACGUCCGCCUCUCGGUUCAAGCACUUCUCCUGCCUCAGCCUCCCAAGUAGCUGGGACUACAAGCAUGUGCCACCACGCCUGGCUGAUAUUUUUAUUUUUAGUACAGACAGGGUUUCACUGUGUUGACCAGACUGGUCUCGAACCCCUGACUUUAAGUGAUCCACUCCCCUCAGCCUCCCAAAGUGUUGGGAUUACAGGCAUGAGUCACCACGCCCAGCCUUGCUAGAGUUCUUUAUUUUGGUAUGGAUCAGAACAAACAUCAAUAAGCGUCUCUUCUCCUUACCAGACACAGACAAGACAGGCAGAUCAGACCAAAAAAACUUAAAAUCACUAACAUUAUACAUAAAUAAAAUUACAUUUGUUGUUAAUAGAAUAUGAAAAUAUCUAGAAAUUUUGAAUAAAAUUAAAAUAUUCUUAUGGGUAUAAAAAUACAUAGCAUAACAAUCAUUAUUUUAGGUAACAAUCUGAGUCAAAUCCCAAACCUUUAUUUUGUUUUUUUGAGAAGGAGUCUCACUCUGUACCCCAGGCUGGAAUGAAGUGGUGCAAUCUCAGCUCACUACAACCGCCAUCUCCUGGAUUCAAGCUAUUCUCCUGCCUCACCCUUCCAAGUAGCUGGGAUUACAGGCAUGCACCACCAUGCCCAGCUAAUUUUUUUUUUUUGUAUUUUUAGUAGAGAUGGGGUUUCACCAUGUUGGCCAGUCUGGUCUUGAACUCCUGACCUCAAGUGAUCUGCCUGCCUCGACCUCCAAAGUGCUGGGAUUACAGGGGUCUUGCUCUAUUGCCCAGGCCAGAGUGCAGUGAUGUGAUCCAGGCUCACUACAGCCUCAAUGUUCGGGGCUCAAGCAAUCCUCCCACCUCAGCCUUCAGAGUACCGAAACUACAAGUCCACACCACUGUGCCCGGCUAAUUUUUGUAUUUUUUGUAGAGAGCAGAUGGCACCACAUUGCUCAGGCUGAUCUCAGACUCCCGAGCUCCGGCAAUCAUCACCCGGCUCAGCCUCUCUAAGGGCUGGGAUUACAGGCGUGAGCCACCGUGCCCGACCUCUCCAUGCUUUAAGUAGUACGUGUGCAAUGGAAAUCAUUUUGGAACGACAUAACGAAGCGUUCUGUAAAGGAUCCAAGGCAGCACAGUUCUGCUGUGCUUGAUUUCACAAAGCAACUGAAAAUUUCCCUUUACUGGAAAGUUAACAGUGAAACUGCAUGUUCACUUACCUCGUAAUGCUCCCCAAACUCUGUUGGCCUUCAGGACAGCCACUGGUUCUUUCACAAGUAAAGUAUCUGUAUUGGGGAUUUAAAAUCACACACAAACUUUUGUUAAUCCCUCCAUGACACACAGUAAGUUUCUGAAAACAUCAUUGAUAUUUCUGGACAAUUAUUUUCUCCCGAGCACAUGACCUACUUCUCUAACUGCCUCCUGUACAUCUCCAUUUGGAUGUCUUGUCUAUUCUUUCAACUCCACAUGCCCCGACGGAACUCUUCCCUCCCUCCUCCUCCACACACUUCAACCUGCUGGUCUCCCGUGUUCCUCAUUUCAGUGAGUCACAGCACCACCAUCCAGUCACCUGAGUCACUCAAGUCAGGAAUUUGGGUGUCAGCUCCAUGUUUCCUCAUUUUCCCCUCCAGGAGUUAGUCUCUCCAACUUCUCAACAGAGUAGAGUCCUAGUUAAGCUAAGGGUUUAGUUGAAAAAUGCAAACAUUCCUCAGUUUCUCCUAGUCCUUGGUGACACCCCGGAUAUCACUCAAAUUGAUUCCCCUUAAGGCCAGAAAAUUAUCACCACUCUUUUGCCUUCAGUUUUUCUAUCUGUCCUGUACCCACCUUCCCUCAGUAUCAUCCAAAUCUGCCUUAAGACUUACUCUCCAAAUCCCCUUAGCCUAGUUCAGCUUUGCCCCCCUCAAUAAGAAUAAUUCAGCUUUGUCCCACUCAAUUAAAAGUUCACACCAUCCCGAGUGGGGCUCCAGUUAGCCACUUCUGGUGAGAGGCUAAUCUUUCAACCUUUGAACACACUGCCUAAGCUUGGCCCAUUUAGUCAUUUAGAGCAGUCUAGAGUGGAGCCAACCACAGACAUAGUAAACCCACAGAGGGUACAGAGAUUUAAAACUGUAAAGGGUGCAACAGCUUUAAAGGGUGUGACAGCUGUGGACUUUGCCACAGCAAAGACACUGAAGGCCUGGAGGUUAAUGAUUUAAUACUGGGCUGGUUUAUCACCUUCCACCACCACCUUCAUCCAGAUGCUCACAGGAUAGUUAGCUGCAGGUAGGCAAAAGUGCUCUGUCAAUAGUGUGAGCAUCUCAGGUGACAGUCUUAUGACAAGAUAGCCUUUUCCAUUAGACGACCACAGUGAUGAGUUAGCCAACGCCAGGCUAAGAACUAUGUUGUUAUUUAUGAGCAUAGUCUAAUUAUGUUUCCUCUCCAUCUACAGCAAAUAGAUGUUGUUGAGACAAAGUCUCAAUCUGUUGCCCAGGCUGGAGUGGAGUGGCAUGAUCACAGUUCACUGCACCCUCGACCUGCCUCCCGGUGGGCCUAUAGAUGUGCCACCAUGCCUGGCUAAUUUUUCUUUUUUUCUUGUGGAGAUGGUGUUUUGUCAUGUUGCCCAGGCUGGUCUUGAGCUCCUGGGCUCAAGCCAUCUACCAGCCUCCGCCUCCCAAAGUGCUGGGAUUACAGGUGUCAGCCACCGCAUCCAGCCUAUAUCAAAUUCUGAAUCAGCUACUUAGAGCUCACUGCUCCACUGGUCAUCAUUUUAAAAGAUUUUUUGCCACAUUCUAGUUUUGAGAUCUCCCAGAAAUAGCAGUCACCUAAAACCCUUAAUAUAAUUGCAUAUACUUGAUACCAAUUAUUUUCUAAUAGCUGACAACUGGCUGAUAUUAAAAAGGACUGUAAGUUGACUCAGUGGAAAAUAUAUAUAACAAUUAGAGAUUUGAUUUUCCAAAUAUAUGGACACAUAGCUACAGAAUGUCCAUUUUUACUUCAAAAUCAAGUUAUUAGUGUUAACAAUGAUCACGUCCCUGAAGUGGGAAAGGAAUGACAUUGACUUUUCAGUAAGCCCCUCCUAUAUCUUUUUGCAACAUAAAUACAUUUGUUUUGGAGGGUGUAUAUACAAAUAACAUAGCAAUAUAUUAUCCUUUAAAAACAACAUAGAUAAGGCUAAAAUCUCCUUUGAGAUACCCACUCACCUCCCUCUAUCUUCCUCAGAGGAAGGAAGCACUUAUCGGGCGUUUUCUUAGGCUUGACAUAGAUGUAGUGGAAGGAGGAAAUACUGCUUUAUGCAUGUGUUCCUGCAUGGGUGUUGAUAUAUAAACGGGGUCCACCUCUACGUAUUAUUUAUACAGCUUUCUUUAACUCGGCAGUUUAUCUUGGCAGUUCUCCAUGUGUGUUCUCUGUAACACUGCUUCUUUAUUCUUAACUGUUGUGAUCAUACUGUUUAGUAUGGGUUGACAAGAUGUAUUUAGCCAUUCCUCUACUGAUGGACAUUGAGUUUUGUUGACAAUUCUUCACAUUACAGGCAAACUACUGAUUUAUGUGUCAAUUUAUAUGCAGUAAAAACUAGCCCACCUCUCCGGGCAUGCAUAUUUUUAUUUUUAAUAAAUAGUGGUGCUUUAA